UCAACGCGGGCGGCGUGCCUAACACAUGCAAGUCGAACGAGAAAGUGGGAGCAAUCCUGCGAGUAGAGUGGCAAACGGGUGAGUAACACGUGAACAACCUACCCUUGAGUGUGGAAUAACCUCGCGAAAGCGGGGCUAAUGCCGCAUAACAUCCCUGGGUUGCAUGAUCUGGGGAUCAAAGGCGCAAGUCGCUUGAGGAGGGGUUCGCGCCUGAUUAGCUAGUUGGUGAGGUAACGGCCCACCAAGGCAACGAUCAGUAGCCGGCCUGAGAGGGCGAACGGCCACACUGGAACUGAGACACGGUCCAGACUCCUACGGGAGGCAGCAGUGGGGAAUUUUGCGCAAUGGGCGAAAGCCUGACGCAGCAACGCCGCGUGGAGGAUGAAGGCCUUCGGGUCGUAAACUCCUGUCAGGGGGGACGAAGGUCGGGAAACCGGCUUGACUGUACCCCUUGAGGAAGCCACGGCUAACUCCGUGCCAGCAGCCGCGGUAAUACGGAGGUGGCAAGCGUUGUUCGGAAUUACUGGGCGUAAAGGGCGCGUAGGCGGCUUGGCAAGUCAGAUGUGAAAGCCCCGAGCUUAACUUGGGAAUUGCAUCUGAAACUGCUUUGCUUGAGUCCUGGAGGGGGUAGUGGAAUUCCCAGUGUAGCGGUGAAAUGCGUAGAUAUUGGGAGGAACACCGGCGGCGAAGGCGGCUACCUGGACAGUGACUGACGCUGAGGCGCGAAAGCUAGGGGAGCGAACGGGAUUAGAUACCCCGGUAGUCCUAGCCGUAAACGAUGGGUGCUAGGUGUGGGUGGUAUUGACCCCAUCCGUGCCGAAGCUAACGCGUUAAGCAUCCCGCCUGGGGACUACGGC
Molecule: ribosomal RNA, 857 nt
Filed under: uncultured bacterium
Lineage: Bacteria
Description: bacterial SSU rRNA
Rfam family: Bacterial small subunit ribosomal RNA
Source: RNAcentral